CUCAUAUUGAACGCUGGCGGCAGGCUUAACACAUGCAAGUCGAGCGGGGAAAGGUAGCUUGCUACCUGACCUAGCGGCGGACGGGUGAGUAAUGCUUAGGAAUCUGCCUAUUAGUGGGGGACAACAUUCCGAAAGGAAUGCUAAUACCGCAUACGCCCUACGGGGGAAAGCAGGGGAUCUUCGGACCUUGCGCUAAUAGAUGAGCCUAAGUCAGAUUAGCUAGUUGGUGGGGUAAAGGCCUACCAAGGCGACGAUCUGUAGCGGGUCUGAGAGGAUGAUCCGCCACACUGGGACUGAGACACGGCCCAGACUCCUACGGGAGGCAGCAGUGGGGAAUAUUGGACAAUGGGCGAAAGCCUGAUCCAGCCAUGCCGCGUGUGUGAAGAAGGCCUUUUGGUUGUAAAGCACUUUAAGCGAAGAGGAGGCUACCGAGAUUAAUACUCUUGGAUAGUGGACGUUACUCGCAGAAUAAGCACCGGCUAACUCUGUGCCAGCAGCCGCGGUAAUACAGAGGGUGCGAGCGUUAAUCGGAUUUACUGGGCGUAAAGCGUGCGUAGGCGGCUUUUUAAGUCGGAUGUGAAAUCCCUGAGCUUAACUUAGGAAUUGCAUUCGAUACUGGGAAGCUAGAGUAUGGGAGAGGAUGGUAGAAUUCCAGGUGUAGCGGUGAAAUGCGUAGAGAUCUGGAGGAAUACCGAUGGCGAAGGCAGCCAUCUGGCCUAAUACUGACGCUGAGGUACGAAAGCAUGGGGAGCAAACAGGAUUAGAUACCCUGGUAGUCCAUGCCGUAAACGAUGUCUACUAGCCGUUGGGGCCUUUGAGGCUUUAGUGGCGCAGCUAACGCGAUAAGUAG
RNAcentral lists this ribosomal RNA (850 nucleotides) under uncultured bacterium. RNAcentral's name for it is "bacterial SSU rRNA". It matches the Rfam family "Bacterial small subunit ribosomal RNA", at positions 23 to 867 of the family's 1533-position model. The record is from RNAcentral.